Long non-coding RNA from Diorhabda carinulata, 840 nucleotides. RefSeq lists it as uncharacterized. Lineage: Eukaryota; Metazoa; Arthropoda; Insecta; Coleoptera; Chrysomelidae. The transcript is spliced from 2 exons. The record is from RefSeq and is a predicted model, not a curated record.
GGUGAUUCGCCGCUUCACCUUCAACGCAUUCAUUUACAAUGCUUCAAUUUGUACAGCUCUUUACAAUCUCGACCUAGUUCCCUACGAAAUCUGGCUCUUUUUCAUUAAAAACGUCGCACUAAACUGGAAGAUAAAGAAUAAAACCAAUAUGGUGAUAUAAAGGACAUUGAACAGUGGAAUAUAUAAAAAAAAUUUGAAUUUCCUCCAAUCUUAACCUCAAGCUAAUCAUUAUUAAUUUAGUAGUUAAUUAUAUAUAUUGGUAAAUAUUUACGUUAAUGAUAAAAUAUGGAUAAUUUAUCAUUUACAAUGAUGGAGAAAUGACAACAUUUAAAUGUAUGUAGAACAUAUCCUAUUAUUCGAUGUACACACAUAUAGUAAAAUCUUUUUUAACGGUUCUUCUUCGACAGAUUCAGGAACACAUAAUAUUUAAUUUAGUCUUCUAAAUAAUCUGUAAUCUAAUUGAAUAUAGUAGUUUUUCAAUACAACUAAUACUCCAGGCUACGCAUAAUCGUCAUUAUUUAAAUAUUUUCUACACAAAAAUGUUUUGAGGGGUUACUUCUCAUCGCUUUAAGAGAGUUUCAUUUUUCGGAACGGCAUCUAUUGAUAUUUUUUCUUAAUUUCUACUAUAAAAUGAUUUGUGUUUGACGUCUUCUUCCUCUUAAUUUAUUAAAAAAAUAUUAGCUAAGAUAUAUAAUUUUCCACGAUUUGUUUUUUGUUAGAUCCUCGCUCUUACAAGAUUCUUGUUCGAACCAUUGCUUCUAAUAGUGAGAUAUUCUAUAAACUAGAUAAACUAGACUUACAUCUUUCUCAUCAUACGCAAUUAUUAUUGGUUUUAUGAAA